CGCGUAGGUGGGAUAGUCAGUCUGUCUUAAAAGUGCGGGGCUCAACCCCGUGAUGGGGCGGAAACUGCUAUUCUUGAGUGCAGGAGAGGAAAGCGGAAUUCCCAGUGUAGCGGUGAAAUGCGUAGAUAUUGGGAGGAACACCAGUGGCGAAGGCGGCUUUCUGGACUGUGUCUGACACUGAGGCGCGAAAGCUAGGGGAGCGAACGGGAUUAGAUACCCCGGUAGUCCUAGCCGUAAACGAUGGGUACUAGGUGUAGGGGGUAUCGACCCCUCCUGUGCCGGAGUUAACGCAAUAAGUACCCCGCCUGGGGAGUACGGCCGCAAGGUUGAA
This 331-nucleotide ribosomal RNA is filed under the name uncultured bacterium. Its description in RNAcentral is "bacterial SSU rRNA". It matches the Rfam family "Bacterial small subunit ribosomal RNA", at positions 568 to 898 of the family's 1533-position model. The record is from RNAcentral.